Molecule: unclassified non-coding RNA, 218 nt
Filed under: air metagenome
Description: partial contains small subunit ribosomal RNA, internal transcribed spacer 1, and 5.8S ribosomal RNA
Rfam family: Eukaryotic small subunit ribosomal RNA (bases 1-46)
Source: RNAcentral
AAGUCGUAACAAGGUUUCCGUAGGUGAACCUGCGGAAGGAUCAUUACUAGUUUAGGGUACUCAGUGCCCAAACUUCAACCCCAUGAUUUAAUUACUUGUUUCUUUGCCGGGUUUCAUUAUCCGGCAGAAGAUUUCUAAAACCCAACUGUUAAUUUGUCAUCUGAAAUUUGAUAAAUAAAUCAAGUAUAAAACUUUCAACAACGGAUCUCUUGGUUCUG